This 292-nucleotide ribosomal RNA is filed under the name uncultured bacterium. RNAcentral's name for it is "partial 16S ribosomal RNA". It matches the Rfam family "Bacterial small subunit ribosomal RNA", at positions 505 to 796 of the family's 1533-position model. The record is from RNAcentral.
GUGUCAGCCGCCGCGGUAAUACGUAGGUGACGAGCGUUAUCCGGAAUUACUGGGCGUAAAGCGCACGCAGGCGGCCUGUUAAGUUUGGCGUGAAAUCUCUCGGCUUAACUGGGAGGGAGCGUUGAAGACUGGCGGGCUUGAGACAGCGAGAGGGGUGUGGAAUUCCCGGUGUAGUGGUGGAAUGCGUAGAGAUCGGGAGGAACACCAGAGGCGAAAGCGACACCCUGGCGCUGGACUGACGCUCAGGUGCGAAAGCGUGGGGAGCGAACGGGAUUAGAAACCCCGGUAGUCC